RNAcentral lists this ribosomal RNA (253 nucleotides) under uncultured archaeon. RNAcentral's name for it is "partial 16S ribosomal RNA". It matches the Rfam family "Archaeal small subunit ribosomal RNA", at positions 728 to 982 of the family's 1478-position model. The record is from RNAcentral.
AUUAGAUACCCCCGUAGUCCCAGCCGUAAACUAUGCGCGUUAGGUGUAUCGGUGACCACGAGUUACCGAGGUGCCGAAGGGAAACCGUGAAACGUGCCGCCUGGGAAGUACGGUCGCAAGGCUGAAACUUAAAGGAAUUGGCGGGGAGCACCGCAACGGGAGGAGCGUGCGGUUUAAUUGGAUUCAACACCGUAAACUCAUCAGGGAAGACUGUUACAUGAAGGCCGAGAUGAAGACUCUGCUAGACUUUCAG